AGGUGUUGUUGGGUAGGGGAGCGUUCUGUAAGCCUGCGAAGGUGGCCUGUGAGGGUUGCUGGAGGUAUCAGAAGUGCGAAUGCUGACAUAAGUAACGAUAAAGCGGGUGAAAAGCCCGCUCGCCGGAAGACCAAGGGUUCCUGUCCAACGUUAAUCGGGGCAGGGUGAGUCGACCCCUAAGGCGAGGCCGAAAGGCGUAGUCGAUGGGAAACGGGUUAAUAUUCCCGUACUUGGUGUUACUGCGAAGGGGGGACGGAGAAGGCUAUGUUGGCCGGGCGACGGUUGUCCCGGUUUAAGCGUGUAGGUGUGUGUUCCAGGUAAAUCCGGUUCACUUUAACACUGAGGCGUGACGACGAGGCACUACGGUGCUGAAGCAACAAAUGCCCUGCUUCCAGGAAAAGCCUCUAAGCAUCAGGUAACAUCAAAUCGUACCCCAAACCGACACAGGUGGUCAGGUAGAGAAUACCAAGGCGCUUGAGAGAACUCGGGUGAAGGAACUAGGCAAAAUGGUGCCGUAACUUCGGGAGAAGGCACGCUGACACGUAGGUGAAGUGAUUUACUCAUGGAGCUGAAGUCAGUCGAAGAUACCAGCUGGCUGCAACUGUUUAUUAAAAACACAGCACUGUGCAAACACGAAAGUGGACGUAUACGGUGUGACGCCUGCCCGGUGCCGGAAGGUUAAUUGAUGGGGUCAGCGCAAGCGAAGCUCCUGAUCGAAGCCCCGGUAAACGGCGGCCGUAACUAUAACGGUCCUAAGGUAGCGAAAUUCCUUGUCGGGUAAGUUCCGACCUGCACGAAUGGCGUAAUGAUGGCCAGGCUGUCUCCACCCGAGACUCAGUGAAAUUGAACUCGCUGUGAAGAUGCAGUGUACCCGCGGCAAGACGGAAAGACCCCGUGAACCUUUACUAUAGCUUGACACUGAACAUUGAGCCUUGAUGUGUAGGAUAGGUGGGAGGCUUUGAAGUGUGGACGCCAGUCUGCAUGGAGCCGACCUUGAAAUACCACCCUUUAAUGUUU
Molecule: ribosomal RNA, 1017 nt
Filed under: Salmonella enterica
Lineage: Bacteria; Pseudomonadati; Pseudomonadota; Gammaproteobacteria; Enterobacterales; Enterobacteriaceae
Also listed under: 1 other name
Description: partial 23S ribosomal RNA
Rfam family: Bacterial large subunit ribosomal RNA
Source: RNAcentral